UAAGGAAUAUUGGACAAUGGAGGCAACUCUGAUCCAGCCAUGCCGCGUGAAGGAAUAAGGCCCUAUGGGUUGUAAACUUCUUUUAGACGGGACAAAACCCCUUUACGUGUAAAGGGUUGAUGGUACUGUCAGAAUAAGCACCGGCUAACUCCGUGCCAGCAGCCGCGGUAAUACGGAGGGUGCGAGCGUUAUCCGGAUUUACUGGGUUUAAAGGGUGCGUAGGUGGGCCUAUAAGUCAGUGGUGAAAUCUCCGAGCUUAACUUGGAAACUGCCGUUGAUACUAUAGGUCUUGAAUUAUCUGGAGGUAAGCGGAAUAUGUCAUGUAGCGGUGAAAUGCUUAGAUAUGACAUAGAACACCAAUUGCGAAGGCAGCUUACUACAUAUAAAUUGACGCUGAGGCACGAAAGCGUGGGGAUCAAAC
This 421-nucleotide ribosomal RNA is filed under the name uncultured bacterium. RNAcentral describes it as "bacterial SSU rRNA". It matches the Rfam family "Bacterial small subunit ribosomal RNA", at positions 355 to 773 of the family's 1533-position model. The record is from RNAcentral.